AGAGUUUGAUCCUGGCUCAGAUUGAACGCUGGCGGCAUGCCUUACACAUGCAAGUCGAACGGCAGCGCGGGGCAACCUGGCGGCGAGUGGCGAACGGGUGAGUAAAAUAUCGGAACAUACCCUAGAGUGGGGGAUAACGUAGCGAAAGUUACGCUAAUACCGCAUACGCACUAAGGUGGAAAGUGGGGGAUCUUCGGACCUCAUGCUCAUGGAGUGGCCGAUAUCUGAUUAGCUAGUUGGUGAGGUAAAGGCUCACCAAGGCGACGAUCAGUAGCUGGUUUGAGAGAACGACCAGCCACACUGGAACUGAGACACGGUCCAGACUCCUACGGGAGGCAGCAGUGGGGAAUUUUGGACAAUGGGGGCAACCCUGAUCCAGCAAUGCCGCGUGAGUGAAGAAGGCCUUC
Molecule: ribosomal RNA, 407 nt
Filed under: uncultured bacterium
Lineage: Bacteria
Description: bacterial SSU rRNA
Rfam family: Bacterial small subunit ribosomal RNA
Source: RNAcentral